UACGGAGGGGGCUAGCGUUGUUCGGACUUACUGGGCGUAAAGCGCACGUAGGCGGCUUUGUAAGUUAGAGGUGAAAGCCCAGAGCUCAACUCUGGAACUGCCUUUAAGACUGCAUCGCUUGAAUUGUGGAGAGGUAAGUGGAAUUCCGAGUGUAGAGGUGAAAUUCGUAGAUAUUCGGAAGAACACCAGUGGCGAAGGCGACUUACUGGACACAUAUUGACGCUGAGGUGCGAAAGCGUGGGGAGCAAACAGG
RNAcentral lists this ribosomal RNA (253 nucleotides) under uncultured bacterium. RNAcentral's name for it is "partial 16S ribosomal RNA". It matches the Rfam family "Bacterial small subunit ribosomal RNA", at positions 524 to 776 of the family's 1533-position model. The record is from RNAcentral.